Molecule: ribosomal RNA, 1242 nt
Filed under: metagenome
Description: bacterial LSU rRNA
Rfam family: Bacterial large subunit ribosomal RNA
Source: RNAcentral
UGAAUACGAGACGCUAAGGCGUCGAAGUAGUGUAUGUCAUACUUCCAAGAAAAGCUUGCACUGUCAUAGAUAAAAAACGCCUGUACCAUAACCGACACAGGUGGGUAGGUAGAGUAUACUAAGGGGCGCGAGAUAACUCUCUCUAAGGAACUCGGCAAAAUAACUCCGUAACUUCGGGAGAAGGAGUGCCUUAUUCGUAAGGUUGCAAUAACAAGAUCCAAGCAACUGUUUAUCAAAAACACAGGUCUCCGCUAAGUCGUAAGACGAUGUAUGGGGGCUGACGCCUGCCCAGUGCCAGAAGGUUAAAGAAGUUGGUUAGCAAUUGCGAAGCUGAUAACUGAAGCCCUGGUGAACGGCGGCCGUAACCAUAACGGUCCUAAGGUAGCGAAAUUCCUUGUCGGGUAAGUUCCGACCCGCACGAAAGGCGUAAUGAUUUGGAUACUGUCUCGGAGAGGGGCUCGGUGAAAUAGACUUGUCUGUGAAGAUGCGGACUACCUGCACCAGGACAGAAAGACCCUAUGAAGCUUUACUGUAACUUGAAAUUGAAAUUGGACUUUAUUCGCGCAGUAUAGGUGGGAGGCGUUGAUUAUAAUCUUGUGGGAUUAUUGGAGCCAUCAGUGAGAUACCACUCUUGUAAUGUUAGAUUUCUAACUUUGAAUCAUUAUCUGGUCAAAGAACAGUUUCAGGCGGGCAGUUUGACUGGGGCGGUCGCCUCCUAAACGGUAACGGAGGCGUACAAAGGUUUCCUCUGAACGGUUAGAAAUCGUAUCUAGAGUGUAAAGGCAUAAGGAAGCUUGACUGUGAGACCUACAAGUCGAGCAGGGACGAAAGUCGGUCUUAGUGAUCUGACGGUACUGAGUGGAAAGGCCGUCACUCAACGGAUAAAAGUUACUCUAAGGAUAACAGGCUGAUCUCCCCCAAGAGUUCACAUCGACGGGGAGGUUUGGCACCUCGAUGUCGGCUCAUCGCAUCCUGGGGCGGUAGUACGUCCCAAGGGUUGGGCUGUUCGCCCAUGAAAGCGGUACGCGAGCUGGGUUCAGAACGUCGUGAGACAGUUCGGUCCAUAUCCGGUGUAGGCGUUAGAAUAUUGAGAGGAGCCUUCUUUAGUACGAGAGGACCGAGAAGGACAUACCUCUGGUGUACCAGUUAUCGUGCCAACGGUAAACGCUGGGUAGCUAUGUAUGGAGUGGAUAACCGCUGAAAGCAUCUAAGUGGGAAGCCCACCUCAAGAUAAGUAUUCUC